AGGGUUGUAGUCCAGUGGUAGAACAUUUGUCCAGCAUGCAUGAGGCCCUGGGUUCAAUCCCCAGCACCACAU
Ictidomys tridecemlineatus (thirteen-lined ground squirrel) is the source of this 72-nucleotide non-coding RNA. Lineage: Eukaryota; Metazoa; Chordata; Mammalia; Rodentia; Sciuridae. The record is from Rfam.